GACGAACGCUGGCGGCGUACUUAACACAUGCAAGUCGAACGGAAAGGCCCUGCUUUUGUGGGGUGCUCGAGUGGCGAACGGGUGAGUAACACGUGAGUAACCUGCCCUUGACUUUGGGAUAACUUCAGGAAACUGGGGCUAAUACCGGAUAGGAGCUCCUGCUGCAUGGUGGGGGUUGGAAAGUUUCGGCGGUUGGGGAUGGACUCGCGGCUUAUCAGCUUGUUGGUGGGGUAGUGGCUUACCAAGGCUUUGACGGGUAGCCGGCCUGAGAGGGUGACCGGCCACAUUGGGACUGAGAUACGGCCCAGACUCCUACGGGAGGCAGCAGUGGGGAAUAUUGCACAAUGGGCGGAAGCCUGAUGCAGCAACGCCGCGUGCGGGAUGACGGCCUUCGGGUUGUAAACCGCUUUCGCCUGUGACGAGGCGUGAGUGACGGUAAUGGGUAAAGAAGCACCGGCUAACUACGUG
This 468-nucleotide ribosomal RNA is filed under the name uncultured bacterium. Its description in RNAcentral is "partial 16S ribosomal RNA". It matches the Rfam family "Bacterial small subunit ribosomal RNA", at positions 28 to 507 of the family's 1533-position model. The record is from RNAcentral.